Molecule: non-coding RNA, 97 nt
Organism: Brachypodium distachyon (stiff brome)
Lineage: Eukaryota; Viridiplantae; Streptophyta; Magnoliopsida; Poales; Poaceae
Source: Rfam
UUAGCAUAUGGCGACAAGCAAGACAGGGACUCUGCCGCACCCGAUUUCAAAUCGGGGACGCAUGAUGUAUUCCGUCUAGGGGAAUCUCUGAUGCUAA